Periophthalmus magnuspinnatus is the source of this 332-nucleotide long non-coding RNA. RefSeq lists it as uncharacterized. The record is from RefSeq and is a predicted model, not a curated record. NCBI's taxonomy places the organism in Eukaryota, Metazoa, Chordata, Actinopteri, Gobiiformes, Gobiidae. The transcript has 4 exons.
CUGGAGAAUCUGCUCCACACAGACCGCUUCUUCAGACAGGACUUUGCUGUGGUCCUCCAGCCUUUUCUGAAGCACGCGGACCCUCCCCGCCUCCCAGACGGGAGCAUCGACAUGUCGUUCUUCACUCACGACUGUUUCCACUUCACGAUAAAAGGACACGAGGAGUUGGCCAAAGGGCUGUGGAACAACAUGUUUCAGCCUCAUUCUGAAAAGACGAUUGUGAACACUUUCUCUGAACCCAUCGCUCUCAUCUGCCCCCCCGCAGAGCAUCCGUACAUCUACACUCGCCCCAUGACCGUGAGGUCCUGCUCCUCCUCUGCACACAGCUCCAU